This is a long non-coding RNA of Triticum aestivum (bread wheat), 4208 nucleotides long. RefSeq lists it as uncharacterized. The transcript is spliced from 4 exons. Lineage: Eukaryota; Viridiplantae; Streptophyta; Magnoliopsida; Poales; Poaceae. The record is from RefSeq and is a predicted model, not a curated record.
UUGGAUUUUACACCUUAAACCAAGGCUCAUAUCAAUCGAAGGGGUUGAAAUCCAGUGACAACUUGCAUAUGGAGCCCCAAUGUCACACGAGAUAUGUACUGCUAUCUUUCGGAGGCUUGCCCAACUGGAUCAGUCUUGCUCUAAGGACACGCCUGGCAACAUUUGGAGGAAGUACAUAGAGCCUGACUUUGCUACAACUGUUUUGUCCAACGCCGAUCCAUUGACCGUUCAAUCUAUCCGCACUGGGUUUCAGGAAGGAACAGGUGUUUGCAACCCAGCUUCAUGCCGAAUGUGGUUCAUCCCAGCAAUUCUUCCAGACGGAUGGGCUGUAUAUCUUUUUGAUAUGACGCGGAAACGAAUCAUUGUGUUAGACCCAGCAGUUGGCCCAUUUGGGUAUAGCAAUCAGCGGGUCAGCAUGCACGAGUUUGUAAGCAACAAACUGCAUGCUGCCCUGUUCAACUGUCUACAUAGUUUCUUCAGUUCUUGGCAUUGUGAUUCCACUAACUAGGGACGCACAUUCCGGGUCAUAAUGCGGGAAAAAAUCGAGAGAGAUGAAAUUGGCUUGGGUGCUACUUUCUUUGCUAGGAAUUAUGACGGUGACAGGCUACAAAUCCCGCUGACAAAAGUAAUUACUUUGAAAUGUUAAACUUUUCUUCGUUUCUUUUUUUUCACUAGAUUUUUUUGGUUCUUUCUUUUCUUCGGAUUAAUUUUCUCCUUUUCAUUUUCUUUUGUUUUCUCUUGCAUUUUCAUUGUUUUCUAUAAACAUUUUAAUGUAUAUAUCUAAUGCACUUUUCUAAUAAACUUUAAAUAUUUGUCAAGUACAAGAUUAACAUUGAUUGAAUAGAUGGUUAACAUUCUUUAACAGACAUUUACCAUGCUUGAUUAAAAUUUUGAAAUACUAGAUUAACAAUUUUUAAUACAUGGGCAACAUUUUUUCUAUACACAUUUUACAUUUUUUUUCAAAUCCUUAAUUCAAUUUUUUUGAAAUACAAGUUUAACAUUUUUCAAUACAUGGUCAACAUUUUUUGUAUACACACUUAACAUUUAACAAUGUUUGCUUAACAUUUUUCAAAUACUAUAUUAAUAUUUUUUAAUCGAAAUAUGUAAGUGGCAACCGUGUGGCAGAUUGCGAAACUGCCACACGCAUCGCCCUCCCGAUCUCCUUCCUUUCCCGCACGUCCUCGUGAUCUCCUACUUCCUUCCCCGCACGCCUCCCGAUCUCUUUCCUUUAUCGCCCUCCUGAUUUCCUUCCUUUCAAUUACCAGUUACAGCCCCACGCGCCUUCCAGAUUUUUGAGCAAAAAUAAUGCUUGAAUUGGGAUUUAAUCUCUGGUCUGCAGGUAAUCAACGAAGGGAGCUAACCAUCUCGCCUAUGACACUCAUUGUUGAACAAGCUAAGAAAAAUAUUGUUUUUGACAUGUUUUGCCUUCAAUAUUUUAGCACUGAAAAGCUUUUGUUUCACCUAUCAAACCUGGCACAUAAACUUUUUUCGUGGUAAAUUCUCCAUCACCACCACGAUAAAUGACGCACCAUCAACAUGAUAACUUUUGUAUACCACGCGGUACAUUAUGUGUAAGUAGCAUGGUCAUAAGCAUUGAAGGCGUGAUAACUUUGGUGAAAGCAUCAUGGUAACUUUGAUCACUGGGAAGAAAUUUGUUGAACCCCGACCCCCGGUAAUUUCUGUAAAUAGCAUGAUAACUUUCACGCCAUAGACCUGAUAAUUUAGAUACAAACCUCGUGGUAACUUUAACCAUUGGGGAAGAAAAAUGUGAAAAGAUACCAGAUAAUUUAUGUGUAAAUAUAUGGUAAUAUACGCAGCGCACAUCUGAUAACUGAGAUAGAAACACCAUGGUAACUUUGACCAUAGGGAAGAUUUUUUUUAAGAUACUCCGGUAUCUUCUGUGUAAAUAGUAUGGUACUAUACCUCACUCCUCUGGUAUUUUCAUGUGUAAAUAGCAUGAAAACAUAUGCACCGCGAUAACUAAACAUCAUGAUAAGUUUUUGACCCGUGGGGGGGGGGGGAUUGUGCUGAAACAUACCCCUGUUAAAUUUUGUGUAAAUCGCAUGAUAUUUUAAGCACUGCGGCUUGAUAGGUUACCUAGAAUCACCAUGAUAACCUUUUGUCCCGGCGAAAAGUUGUUCAAAACAUCCCGAUAACUUUUUUUUGUGAAUAACAUGAUAAUAUAAGCACCGCAUAACUGAUAACUUACAAUAUAAACAUGAUGGUAACUUUUUUAUCAAAGGAAAACAAGUUGUUAAAAACAUAAACUCACCUCGCGGAGCCUCUUAGAUGAACACAACACAUGAUGUGCCAUAGAAAAGCCACAUAACAUUUAGUGUCAUGAGGAGGCACACAUGCUCAUGGGUUGGCCCAGAAAAACGGCCCACUUUGACCCGCUAUAGGCGUGAUAAGUUACGCAAAAACAUCGUGGUAAUUUUUGACCUAUGAAAAAAGUUACCGAAACACACCCAGGUCUUUAGGUGUAAGUACCAUGAUAAUAUACGAACUAUAGACCUGGUAACUCAUGUACAAUCCCCAUGGUAACUUUGACCAGGGACAAGAUUGAUGUACACAUACCCUGAUAACUUAUGUGUAAGUACCACGGUAUUUUACACAUCGAAGACCUUAUAACACAAUGGUAACUUUGAAAGGGGUGUAGUUGUUGAAACAUAUUACCUGGUAAGUUCUAUGUAAAUAGCACGGUAACUUACGCAACACAGGCCUGAUAACUUGCAUGCGAAUACCAUGGUAACUUUGUCCUGAGGAAAAUUCGUGCUAAUUUUCUGUACUUUUUUGUAGUAACACAAUUGUAAAAAAAGAGAUCAAAACGAUUAGUUUCUUUAGUUUGAGCAACAAAUACUAAGGGUGAGGUUGUUGUGGUGGCGCGCUUUGGUGCCAAGAAGGUGUGGGUUUGAAUCCCACAUGCACAAUUUUUUUUAUCAUGUGGUAGACGUGAAGAAGUGGCAAUUUUCUCAGGGGUGGGCGCGCGAGAUGUACGGGAGAACCAGGUUUCUCGGGCGAGCCUGCAGGGUCGUUCGGCAGAAAGUGGGGUCGAAGGAAGGGGGAUCAUGUGAUACUUUAAAGUGAAAGAAGUAGAGAUGUGGCAGUUUUACUUAUAUGACACACAUGUGUCAAAUAUCAUAGUCCUUUUUUAAUACAUGGUCAACAUUUCCUCUAUACACAUUUAACAUUUUUCAAAUGAUUGAUUAACAUUUUUCAAAUGCUUGAUUAACAUUUUUUAGUAUAAGUUUAACUUUUUUUAUACAUGGUCAACAUUUUUCUAUACACAUUUUACAUUUAUUCAAAUAGUUCAUUAAUAUUUGUCAAAUACAAGUUUAAUAUUCUUCUUUGAAUACACGGUCAACAUUUUUCAAUACACAUUAAAAAAAUUAAAUGCUUGAUUAAUAUUUUUCAAAUAUUUCUUUAACAUUUUUCCAAACGAUUGGAUUAACAUUUUUAAAACAAAUUAUCACUUUUUUCACACACAUUAUGUAUUUUUCAUAUACAUGAGAAAACAUUUUCUCCAUGCACAUUUAACAUUUUCAAGUGCUUGGAGUAUUUUUUUAAAUAUUUUAUGUAAUUGUUUUUUAGUAUAUUUAUUUAGAAUAUGUGUAAGUAUAAAUGAAAUUAAUAAAAUGAAAUAAAAACAAAAAAGUGUAAAAAAAAGAAGAUAGUGGCCUUCCGCGCACUGGACCGGUCUGUAUGCUCGCACGACUUCAGCUCUCAGUUGGGAUCAAUCUGGCUCCAUCGCGCUUCCAAAGAGCGAGGCUAACCACUUGACCAGCUAAAUUCUAGUGAUUCUUUAAGCACGAACGUUUUAAAGAAUAGAAACAUAGACACACUAUUAAUUUCGCGUUACACUACAGAGUUGAGAUUUUCCAAUUAUUUGAAAACAUGUGCACAUAUUACAAAUGAAGUUCAUGCACAUGCAAAAAAAGUUUGUGUAUUCAAAAAAUAGUUCACCAAAUCAAAAAAGUUCACAAAUUCAAAAGAGUUCAUCGAUUUUCAAAAAAUGUUCAUCGAACAAUGAAAGUAGUUCAUCGAUUUUUAAAAAAAGUUCACGAAUUUGAAAAAUUCGGAUUUAGAAAAAAGUUCAUCUAAAUAGAAAAAAAUCAUCGAUUUUGAAAAAGUUCAUCAAUUUUAAAAAAAAAUCAUUGAGAAAGUUCAUCAAAUUUGGAAAAUAAGUAGCACUGGGUUCAAAUUCGAAA